This 265-nucleotide ribosomal RNA is filed under the name uncultured bacterium. RNAcentral describes it as "partial 16S ribosomal RNA". It matches the Rfam family "Bacterial small subunit ribosomal RNA", at positions 793 to 1055 of the family's 1533-position model. The record is from RNAcentral.
GUCCACGCUGUAAACGAUGGAUGCUAGGUGUUGGGGGUAUUGACCCCUCCAGUGCCGCAGUUAACGCAUUAAGCAUCCCGCCUGGGGAGUACGGCCGCAAGGCUAAAACUCAAAGGAAUUGACGGGGGCCCGCACAAGCGGUGGAGCAUGUGGUUUAAUUCGACGCAACGCGAAGAACCUUACCUGGGUUAAAUCCGCCGAAAUUCCGCAGAGAUGUGGAAGUGCCCUUCGGGGAAUCGGUGAGAAGGUGCUGCAUGGCUGUCGU